Molecule: ribosomal RNA, 468 nt
Filed under: uncultured bacterium
Lineage: Bacteria
Description: partial 16S ribosomal RNA
Rfam family: Bacterial small subunit ribosomal RNA
Source: RNAcentral
GACGAACGCUGGCGGCGUGCUUAACACAUGCAAGUCGAACGGAAAGGCCCUGCUUUUGUGGGGUGCUCGAGUGGCGAACGGGUGGGUAACACGUGAGUAACCUGCCCUUGACUUUGGGAUAACUUCAGGAAACUGGUGCUAAUACCGGAUAGGAGCUCCUGCUGCAUGGUGGGGGUUGGAAAGUUUCGGCGGUUGGGGAUGGACUCGCGGCUUAUCAGCUUGUUGGUGGGGUAGUGGCUUACCAAGGCUUUGACGGGUAGCCGGCCUGAGAGGGUGACCGGCCACAUUGGGACUGAGAUACGGCCCAGACUCCUACGGGAGGCAGCGGUGGGGAAUAUUGCACAAUGGGCGGAAGCCUGAUGCAGCAACGCCGCGUGCGGGAUGACGGCCUUCGGGUUGUAAACCGCUUUCGCCUGUGACGAAGCGUGAGUGACGGUAAUGGGUAAAGAAGCACCGGCUAACUACGUG